RNAcentral lists this ribosomal RNA (497 nucleotides) under uncultured bacterium. RNAcentral's name for it is "partial 16S ribosomal RNA". It matches the Rfam family "Bacterial small subunit ribosomal RNA", at positions 28 to 507 of the family's 1533-position model. The record is from RNAcentral.
GAUGAACGCUGGCGGCGUGCCUAAUACAUGCAAGUCGAACGGACGGACGAUGAUCUUGCGGCGCGGAUGUUAGCGGCGGACGGGUGAAUAACGCGUGUAUAACCUACCUAUAAGACUGAUAUAACUUCGAGAAACCGUAUCUUAUACCGUAUAAGCUUUUGAACCACGGGGGGCAAAGGUAAGAUACGGUCUUUCUGGCACGUAUAGAGGGAUCCGCGCUGCAUUAGCUAGUUGGUGAGGUAACAGCCUACCAAGGCAACGAUGCAUAGCCGACCGGAGAGGGUGAUAGGCCACACUGGAACUGAGCCACCGUCAAGACUACUACGGGAGGCAGCAGUCGGGAAUCUUACGCAAUGGGCGAAAGCAUGACGGAGCAACGCCGCGCGAGUUAUGAAGGUCCUCCGAUCGUAAAAACCUGUUAUUAGGGAAGAACCUAUGAGUAAGUAAAUGUGCCGAUCUUGACGGUAAUUAAUAAGAAAGCACCGGCUAACUACGUG